GGUCUGGUGGUGUAGCGGUAACACGUCCUAAAUAAUAACAGUGUUGGAGGAGGUACCUUUGUUCGAGUCGAGGCUAGACCG
Molecule: non-coding RNA, 81 nt
Organism: Mycena rebaudengoi
Lineage: Eukaryota; Fungi; Basidiomycota; Agaricomycetes; Agaricales; Mycenaceae
Source: the annotation of a GenBank genome assembly